ACCAGUACCGUGAGGGAAAGGUGAAAAGCACCCCGGAAGGGGAGUGAAAUAGAACCUGAAACCGUGUGCUUACAAGUAGUCAGAGCCCGUUAAUGGGUGAUGGCGUGCCUUUUGUAGAAUGAACCGGCGAGUUACGAUUUGAUGCAAGGUUAAGCAGUAAAUGUGGAGCCGUAGCGAAAGCGAGUCUGAAUAGGGCGUUUAGUAUUUGGUCGUAGACCCGAAACCAGGUGAUCUACCCUUGGUCAGGUUGAAGUUCAGGUAACACUGAAUGGAGGACCGAACCGACUUACGUUGAAAAGUGAGCGGAUGAACUGAGGGUAGCGGAGAAAUUCCAAUCGAACCUGGAGAUAGCUGGUUCUCUCCGAAAUAGCUUUAGGGCUAGCCUC
Molecule: ribosomal RNA, 386 nt
Filed under: Staphylococcus aureus
Lineage: Bacteria; Bacillati; Bacillota; Bacilli; Caryophanales; Staphylococcaceae
Description: partial 23S ribosomal RNA
Rfam family: Bacterial large subunit ribosomal RNA
Source: RNAcentral